Molecule: ribosomal RNA, 459 nt
Filed under: uncultured bacterium
Lineage: Bacteria
Description: partial 16S ribosomal RNA
Rfam family: Bacterial small subunit ribosomal RNA
Source: RNAcentral
CCUACGGGUGGCAGCAGUGAGGAAUAUUGGUCAAUGGGCGCGAGCCUGAACCAGCGAAGUCGCGUGAGGGAAGACGGUCCUAUGGAUUGUAAACCUCUUUUGUCGGGGAGCAAAAGACGCCACGCGUGGCGUUACGAGAGUACCCGAAGAAAAAGCAUCGGCUAACUCUGUUCCAGAAGCCGCGGUAAUACGGAGGAUGCGAGCGUUAUACGGUUUGAUUGGGUUUAAAGGGUGCGCAGGCGGAAGAUCAAGGCAGCGGAAAAAUUGAGGGGCGAAACCUCUUUGAGCCGUUGAAACUGGUUUUCUUGAGUGAGUGAGAGGUAUGCGGAAUGCGUGGUGUAGCGGUGAAAUGCAUAGAUAUCACGCAGAACUCCGAUUGCGAAGGCAGCAUACCGGCGCUCAACUGACGCUCAUGCACGAAAGUGUGGGUAUCGAACAGGAUUAGAUACCCUUGUAGUC